This 467-nucleotide ribosomal RNA is filed under the name uncultured bacterium. RNAcentral describes it as "partial 16S ribosomal RNA". It matches the Rfam family "Bacterial small subunit ribosomal RNA", at positions 28 to 507 of the family's 1533-position model. The record is from RNAcentral.
GAUGAACGCUGGCGGCGUGCUUAACACAUGCAAGUCGAACGGAAGGCCCAAGCUUGCUUGGGUACUCGAGUGGCGAACGGGUGAGUAACACGUGGGUGAUCUGCCCUGCACUUCGGGAUAAGCCUGGGAAACUGGGUCUAAUACCGGAUAGGACGAUGGUUUGGAUGCCAUUGUGGAAAGUUUUUUCGGUGUGGGAUGAGCUCGCGGCCUAUCAGCUUGUUGGUGGGGUAAUGGCCUACCAAGGCGUCGACGGGUAGCCGGCCUGAGAGGGUGUACGGCCACAUUGGGACUGAGAUACGGCCCAGACUCCUACGGGAGGCAGCAGUGGGGAAUAUUGCACAAUGGGCGCAAGCCUGAUGCAGCGACGCCGCGUGGGGGAUGACGGCCUUCGGGUUGUAAACUCCUUUCGCUAGGGACGAAGCGUUUUUGUGACGGUACCUGGAGAAGAAGCACCGGCUAACUACGUG